This 539-nucleotide ribosomal RNA is filed under the name Neisseria sp. HMSC15C08. Its description in RNAcentral is "bacterial LSU rRNA". It matches the Rfam family "Bacterial large subunit ribosomal RNA", at positions 1351 to 1876 of the family's 2925-position model. Lineage: Bacteria; Pseudomonadati; Pseudomonadota; Betaproteobacteria; Neisseriales; Neisseriaceae. The record is from RNAcentral.
UUUCCUACGCAACGUUCAUCGGCGUAGGGUGAGUCGGCCCCUAAGGCGAGGCAGAAAUGCGUAGUCGAUGGGAAACAGGUUAAUAUUCCUGUACUUGAUUCAAAUGCGAUGUGGGGACGGAGAAGGUUAGGUUAGCAAGCUGUUGGAAUAGCUUGUUUAAGCCGGUAGGUGGAAGACUUAGGCAAAUCCGGGUCUUCUUAACACCGAGAAGUGAUGACGAGUGUCUACGGACAUGAAGUAACCGAUACCACGCUUCCAGGAAAAGCCACUAAGCUUCAGUUUGAAUUGAACCGUACCGCAAACCGACACAGGUGGGCAGGAUGAGAAUUCUAAGGCGCUUGAGAGAACUCGGGAGAAGGAACUCGGCAAAUUGAUACCGUAACUUCGGGAGAAGGUAUGCCCUCUAAGGUUAAGGACUUGCUCCGUAAGCCCUGGAGGGUCGCAGAGAAUAGGUGGCUGCGACUGUUUAUUAAAAACACAGCACUCUGCUAACACGAAAGUGGACGUAUAGGGUGUGACGCCUGCCCGGUGCUGGAAGG